UACGUAGGGUGCGAGCGUUAAUCGGAAUUACUGGGCGUAAAGCGUGCGCAGGCGGGUAUGUAAGACAGAUGUGAAAUCCCCGGGCUCAACCUGGGAACUGCAUUUGUGACUGCAUGGCUAGAGUACGGUAGAGGGGGAUGGAAUUCCGCGUGUAGCAGUGAAAUGCGUAGAUAUGCGGAGGAACACCGAUGGCGAAGGCAAUCCCCUGGACCUGUACUGACGCUCAUGCACGAAAGCGUGGGGAGCAAACAGGAUUAGAUACCCCGGUAGUCC
Molecule: ribosomal RNA, 273 nt
Filed under: uncultured Delftia sp.
Lineage: Bacteria; Pseudomonadati; Pseudomonadota; Betaproteobacteria; Burkholderiales; Comamonadaceae
Description: partial 16S ribosomal RNA
Rfam family: Bacterial small subunit ribosomal RNA
Source: RNAcentral